CGGCUCGCUCGGUGGAGCCACUUGAGGCCUCUUGGGAGGCCGCGAUGGUCCGGCCUCUUGCACCGGCCUCUUCCGCACAGCGUACUGCCGGACGUCGGCCACCGUCAGUCUCGCCCUCGAUGGCAUAUCUGCAGACGACGACAGAUGAUCAGCACCCAAAAAGAAAGGAAGGAAGAAAGGAGGGGGAAAAUAGAAGGCGAACCUAAGCGAGGGACCGGGCUGAGAC
RNAcentral lists this long non-coding RNA (226 nucleotides) under Elaeis guineensis (African oil palm). Its description in RNAcentral is "long non-coding RNA (EGUI_LNC075292)". The record is from RNAcentral. Lineage: Eukaryota; Viridiplantae; Streptophyta; Magnoliopsida; Arecales; Arecaceae.